RNAcentral lists this small nucleolar RNA (67 nucleotides) under Triticum aestivum (bread wheat). RNAcentral's name for it is "Small nucleolar RNA Z105". It matches the Rfam family "Small nucleolar RNA Z105". Rfam says of the family: This family consists of several snoRNA Z105 sequences which are members of the C/D class of snoRNA which contain the C (UGAUGA) and D (CUGA) box motifs. This family seems to be found exclusively in plants. The record is from Rfam by way of RNAcentral. Lineage: Eukaryota; Viridiplantae; Streptophyta; Magnoliopsida; Poales; Poaceae. RNAcentral also lists the same sequence under 1 other name.
CUGGCAUAAUGAGGAAGACAAUUGGUGUCCGGUCUAUUUGAUGACAAAUUGCUCCUACUCAUUCUGA